RNAcentral lists this ribosomal RNA (766 nucleotides) under uncultured cyanobacterium. RNAcentral's name for it is "bacterial SSU rRNA". It matches the Rfam family "Bacterial small subunit ribosomal RNA", at positions 55 to 859 of the family's 1533-position model. Lineage: Bacteria; Bacillati; Cyanobacteriota. The record is from RNAcentral.
AUGCAAGUCGUACGAGGGUUUUUAACUUUAGUGGCGGACGGGUGAGUAACACGUGAGAAUUUGCCUUUAGGAGGGGGAUAACAAUCGGAAACGAAUGCUAAUACCCCAUAUGCUUUUGAGUGAAAUGGAUUUAUCCGCCUAAAGAGAAGCUCGCGGCUGAUUAGCUUGUUGGUAAGGUAAGAGCUUACCAAGGCGACGAUCAGUAUCUGGUUUGAGAGGACGAUCAGACACACUGGAACUGAGACACGGUCCAGACUCCUACGGGAGGCAGCAGUGGGGAAUUUUCCGCAAUGGGCGAAAGCCUGACGGAGCAAUACCGCGUGAGGGAGGACUGCCUAUGGGUUGUAAACCUCUUUUUUCAGGGAGGAAUAAAUUGACGUGUACCUGAAGAAUAAGCAUCGGCUAACUCCGUGCCAGCAGCCGCGGUAAGACGGAGGAUGCAAGUGUUAUCCGGAAUCACUGGGCGUAAAGCGUCUGUAGGUGGUUUAAUAAGUCAACUGUUAAAUCUUGAGGCUCAACUUCAAAAUCGCAGUCGAAACUAUUAGACUAGAGUAUAGUAGAGGUAAAGGGAAUUUCCAGUGGAGCGGUGAAAUGCGUAGAUAUUGGAAAGAACACCAAUGGCGAAAGCACUUUACUGGGCUAUUACUAACACUCAGAGACGAAAGCUAGGGUAGCAAAUGGGAUUAGAUACCCCAGUAGUCCUAGCCGUAAACUAUGGAUACUAGAUGUUGAACAGAUCGACCUGUGCAGUAUCAAAGCUAACGCG